CACACACAAACAAAAAACAUCUGACAAGGGAUUUCAGCCUGGAGUCAGUCAAAAAAUCUUAAGAGGUCUGUAAAGGAGAUGACUAUGCUGUUAGGGCUGUGGUAGAAACCUUUAAUAACAAGUGAAAAGAGCUUGUAUUUGCCAAAAUGAACACAGGAUAUGAUUCUUUUUUUGCUUUUGCUUUGGAGUUGUAUCAGCUCUGUGCGGUCACAUGGGUAUCUACAAAUCAAAGCACCCAUCAACCAGAUGCAUCUCUGAGAGUUAACAGCAGAAGGUGGCAUAAUAAAAGAAGUUCUCGGUAGUGAAAAAGGUUGGAAACCACCAGCUAAACCAAUCCUUUUGUACCAAUAGGAGAUUCAAGUUGAGAGGUGGGAAAGGGCCUAUCUCAGAGUAGGUGCUUGAAUACUUCUUACUAGAACGAAAGAAGGAACUUAAGAUCACACAGCCAUGUUACUGCAGGACGGGGAAUGGAACCUAGGUCUUAUUUUUGGUUCAGUGUUAACUCCCAUUCUCUAAGCAGACUGGGCCUGUUAUUCAAACUGCCUUCCCAUAGGUGCUUCCCUGCUUCUCUCCUCACCCAGAGAAGGACUUACAAACAGCUUAUCUUCAGAGGUUUUGUGCCUGAUAGUUAUGGAAUGUGCUGGUUUGAGCAGGGAGGAUGUAAGGGGAGGGGAAUGCUAAAAGCCUGUCUACUUAGAGUCAGGUUUCCUGGGUAAGUCCCUGGAACCCCAUCCCCUUCCCCUCUCUUGAGACCCUGGAACUUACUCCAGUAACUGCCACCCUGUGCCUUUGCUUCAGGGCCAUGCUGGAUAAGGAGCUGGCUGCCUCUGUGAACAUCCUACUCAAGGCAUCUUCACUGCUGUACAUCCUUUUGAAAUCCCAGAGAUCUUCAGUCUCCCUGUGGAUUAAGGAGAUGUGCAGUAUUUAAAGUGGCUUCAGGAAGGCAUGGAAGAGGACUGAGUGGGGAAAGCUUUUUGUGCAUGCUGCUGGCUACCUCCAGCGGCUGCCUCCAGCCUCCAUCAGCUGCACUCUGGGGAAGAGGCUGCCUUCUACCUCCCAGCAUCUCUGGAUUUCAUGUUCCUGUCAGCACAGAGGAGCUAAAUGGCCUGUAGAGGCUGAAGGUCUGAGGCUCCUCAAGCUGGAAGAAAAGGCUGGGCCAGUCAGGCCAAGCAAGAACACAGUGUAACUUGUCUCUGAGUGCUUCAUGGUUAAGGGGGAUAAGCGGGCACAAGGGCAUGAGGAUGGUUAUAUGUACAGACUGAGGGGAAGAAGCAGUGAGGAUGAGACUUGCCAUCUUCUUGAGUCAAUAGGCCUGCCUCAGGUGCCUAGGAUGUAAUUGCUCUCCUGCUUCUCAUGGGGAGGAGUGGCCCUCAUGACCUUGUUUACCUGGAAGAGUGUGGGAUGAACGCCUCCUCCUGUGGGGACUGGCAAGUGCUUUAGCAAAAGGAUAAAUUGCUAAUUGUGGCAUUUCGUGGAUCAGCAGGAUUAUUUCUCCUUGCCAAAGAGGAUUUUGUUGGUCCUGAAUUCUGAGGAGGUGGGACUAGGAAUGGGCUCCAUGAGCCUGUGUAUGACUCAGGGAAUAUUAGGACUUUGGCCCAGCCUCAUGGGUUGGGAGUAAGUCUUGGCUCUUCCCUAGCCUGAAUGACAGACAUCAGAUCAUUGUGGUGCUUUGUCCAUGAAGAUGUAGAUUCUGAGCCCACCAAACUAACCUUUUCACUUGAGCACAGAAACAGCCCCGGGAAUCAGACAGACCCGUGUCUUUCAGGUUUGCUUCACAGAUCCCCAGGAGUUGACAAUAGGUGCCUUGGAGACUGCCUGCAUGGGGAUUUUUAAAAAGCUUUCUUUGUUAAAGGUUUGUAAACCGCUCCUCUGAGCCUGUUUUCAUUUUAUAGAUUAUUCAGGAAACUGAACUGCACAGAGAUCCAGAAAGUGGGUAGUGCAGGCUGUAGUGCUGAUAACUACUGUACUACUUGGAUCUUUGUGCUCCCAAAUACCAAAUAGAAGAGGAUCUCUGAGAGUCCUUUGCAAAGAUCUCGUAAGGAAUUUAGGCUGGGGCCUUCGGAAAAUUCCAGAGGAUUCCAAUGGAGAUUUUGAGGGACUGCCUCAGAAGAACAAAGAGAAUGAUAAUGGUGAUGUCCCUGCUUUUUACAACAGAUCAUGUUCUGAUAUAUAUGCAAAUCUGUGUAAAGUAAACCCUACCUAAAAUGUACUGGGGACCCAAGAUGGACUGCCUGUAUUGCUUCCAGGAUAAAGUCCAAUUUCUAGCUCUGGUUUUUAUAACCUUGCUUCAGCUCACCUUUUCCGUCAUCAUCCCCUCCAUCUCCUCUCCCACGCUGGGAAAUGGAUGGCUGCACUAUACUGUGUGAUGUUAUUGCUAUGUUCAUGCCAUCCCCUCUGCCUGGAAUGCCCUUCUGCAUGAAUGCCUGUGAAAUGUUGUUGCUCCUUUGUAUGGCCUGGCUUCUGUGGUUGGCAGGAAUCUCUUCUUUUGUGGUAUUCCUGUCAUCUUUGUGCAUCACAGUCAGCUUUGUAUUCCUAGCUUGUAAGCUACUUGAGGAUAGGGGCAUGUCUGAAUCUAUUUAAUCUCUUGCACCUGUUUGGCAAAUUGAUGUUUUAAGUAUUUAAAUACCUAAAGCUCUCUCUACAGUACAUACUCACUUUUGAUUUAUGGAAUUGGCAAAAUUCAACAUUUUUCCUUGAAUAUUCUUAAAGUGAGACUAAUUCCAAAGGAGAGUGUUCUGUCUGUGGCCUUCAUUGAGUGGUUUUCUGUUACCAGAAAGCUCUUGGUGGCCUUCCUCUUCCCUGGUGUCAAGGUUGACUGCUAUAGGAAGUGGGAGGGGAGAGGGCCGUUUCUGCCACGCAUUGUCCUAGGUUCUUAACAUUAUUUAAUCCUUAUAAUGCAAUGUUAUCCUCAUUUUACAGAUGAAACCUGAGACCAAAGAACAUGUAACACAUAAAGUACAUUGCAGAGUUAGGAUGUGAACCCAACUCUGAUUCUAAACCUAAUGCUCUUACUCUUUCAUUCAGAGGUUCAGUCAGUUCUUUGUAGGUUGUAGAUCCAGAGAAGCUGCCGUAGCCAACAAUAAAGUUGUUAGUUUUUAAAACAUCUAUGUGGUAAGUUGGUCUGGCACUUAAAAAUGUAUUGUUUCCCAGGCACGGUGGCUCACACCUGUAAUCCCAGCAUUUUGGGAGGCUGAGGCAGGCGGAUCAUUAGGUCAAAAGAUUGAGACCAUCCUGACCAACAUGGUGAAACCCCGUCUCUACUAAAAAUACAAAAAUUAGCUGGGUGUGGUGGCGCAUGCCUCUAGUCCCAGCUACUUGGGAGGCUGAGGCAGGAAAAUCGCUUGAACCCAGGAGGCAGAGGUUGCAGUGAGCCAAGAUCAUGCUACUGCACUACAGCCUGGCAACAAAGCGAGACUCUGUCUAAAAAAAAAAAAUAUAUAUAUAUAUAUAUAUAUAUUGUUUACUACUCACCACAGAUCUGCAGGAGUUCACUGAUCUCUAGGAUCUGCCUUAACUCCAACUUACAUGUUUUGGUCACUAUUACAAACUGUCAUCCCAGAAUGCUGCUGCAGAGGCUAGGGCUAGGACACAGACCAGUGUUUCCAUGUGGGAAUUCCCUCCCAGUAUUUCUUAGGAAAUGUAUGUUUUUUGAAUCCAUAAUCCCUAGAAAAAUCAGUUGAGGAAAUGAGAAGUAUUGUAAUUAUUCUGUGAAUAGUAACACUUACCAUUAUGGAGACAUCACUAGUUUGAAAGAAUCCAACUUCAUCAAAUACUAACAUACCGAGUUGAAGGCUACAAGAACUGAGACAGGAGCAUAGCAGAGAGAAACGGUCACCAUCUCAUUAGCCCUAUUUUUGGUUGUUGUGAUGCCAUUACAUCUGUAUAUCUGGCCGUAUCAGCUGCUAAUGGUGAGUUCUUGCAAAUAAAAUGAUUUGAUAAACAACCUACCAUACUUUAUACAAAUCUUAUGGUGUUCCGAGAAAUAAACUUUGGAAGCAAAAUAA
Gorilla gorilla gorilla (western lowland gorilla) is the source of this 4004-nucleotide long non-coding RNA. RefSeq lists it as uncharacterized. The record is from RefSeq and is a predicted model, not a curated record. The transcript has 2 exons. NCBI's taxonomy places the organism in Eukaryota, Metazoa, Chordata, Mammalia, Primates, Hominidae.